This 76-nucleotide transfer RNA is filed under the name Schistocerca americana (American grasshopper). RNAcentral's name for it is "tRNA-Ser". It matches the Rfam family "tRNA". From Rfam's summary of the family: Transfer RNA (tRNA) molecules are approximately 80 nucleotides in length. Their secondary structure includes four short double-helical elements and three loops (D, anti-codon, and T loops). Lineage: Eukaryota; Metazoa; Arthropoda; Insecta; Orthoptera; Acrididae. The record is from RNAcentral.
GUGCUUGGGUAGCUCAGUUGGUAGAGCACUUGCCCUCGAGAGGCAAAGGUCCCGAGUUCGAGUCUCGGCCGGUACA